This 586-nucleotide long non-coding RNA is filed under the name Junco hyemalis (dark-eyed junco). RNAcentral describes it as "lncRNA (ENSJHYG00000008451.1)". The record is from RNAcentral. Lineage: Eukaryota; Metazoa; Chordata; Aves; Passeriformes; Passerellidae.
AGCCCGCCGCGCUGUAAAUACGAAAGGUUCCGCCGGGGACGGGGGGAGGGAGCCGAGCGUGUACAGAAUGUGCACAAGAAGCUGACAUCCCAUCCUUCUUGGGAACAGCUACAGCAAAAUGCUCAGCUCGGUGAUAGCUGUGAGAACACCAAUCUUCACCCGUCCUUGGGCUGCUAGAAGGAGGGACCCUGAGGCCAGAAGAAAAUUGUGUGAUGCUGUUAGAAGAACCAAGGAUGCCUUCUAUGACUCAUCAGCCUGGUUUUGGAGAAAUACUGGAUUUACCAUCAUUUCCUGAGAGCUGAAGAAAAGUAAGCAACAGGCAAGUAAAAUAUUUGGGUUUGACUGAAGGCUGUUUUCUAGUAUUUCUGCUUCCUGUUUACUUGCUGGAGCAAGGAACACUGUGGCCAUGCAAUCAGCACGUUUUAAACCUCAGCUUGCUGAUACAGCAAGUACUAAUGCUGAUCUGAGUGGAUAUACAAGAAAAAUCCCAAGUGGCGCUUCUUGUAUUAACAAUGAAUCUCUCUACCUUUUGCAGGAAUACCACAAAUAGGCACCAGAGGGUCCUACAACAGAACACAAAGAUGUC